GCCGGAGUGGCGGAAUGGCAGACGCGCUGGACUCAAAAUCCAGUAUUCGCAAGAAUGUGUGGGUUCAAGUCCCACCUCCGGUA
RNAcentral lists this transfer RNA (83 nucleotides) under Planctomycetaceae bacterium. Its description in RNAcentral is "tRNA-Leu". It matches the Rfam family "tRNA". From Rfam's summary of the family: Transfer RNA (tRNA) molecules are approximately 80 nucleotides in length. Lineage: Bacteria; Pseudomonadati; Planctomycetota; Planctomycetia; Planctomycetales; Planctomycetaceae. The record is from RNAcentral. RNAcentral also lists the same sequence under 1 other name.